UACGUAGGUGGCAAGCGUUAUCCGGAAUUAUUGGUCGGAAAGCGCGCGCAGGUGGUUUCUUAAGUCUGAUGUGAAAGCCCACGGCUCAACCGUGGAGGGUCAUUGGAAACUGGGAGACUUGAGUGCAGAAGAGGAAAGUGGAAUUCCAUGUGUAGCGGUGAAAUGCGUAGAGAUAUGGAGGAACACCAGUGGCGAAGGCGACUUUCUGGUCUGUAACUGACACUGAGGCGCGAAAGCGUGGGGAGCAAACAGG
RNAcentral lists this ribosomal RNA (253 nucleotides) under uncultured bacterium. RNAcentral's name for it is "partial 16S ribosomal RNA". It matches the Rfam family "Bacterial small subunit ribosomal RNA", at positions 524 to 776 of the family's 1533-position model. The record is from RNAcentral.